This 424-nucleotide ribosomal RNA is filed under the name Verrucomicrobiota bacterium. RNAcentral describes it as "Verrucomicrobia bacterium partial 16S ribosomal RNA". It matches the Rfam family "Bacterial small subunit ribosomal RNA", at positions 355 to 776 of the family's 1533-position model. The record is from RNAcentral. Lineage: Bacteria; Pseudomonadati; Verrucomicrobiota.
UGGGGAAUAUUGGUCAAUGGACGCAAGUCUGAACCAGCCAAGUAGCGUGCAGGAUGACGGCCCUAUGGGUUGUAAACUGCUUUUAUAUGGGGAUAAAGUGGGGAACGUGUUCCCUUUUGCAGGUACCAUAUGAAUAAGGACCGGCUAAUUCCGUGCCAGCAGCCGCGGUAAUACGGAAGGUUCGGGCGUUAUCCGGAUUUAUUGGGCGUAAAGCGCGCGCAGGUGGUUUAGAAAGUCUGAUGUGAAAGCCCACGGCUCAACCGUGGAGGGUCAUUGGAAACUAAUAAACUUGAGUGCAGGAGAGAAAAGUGGAAUUCCUAGUGUAGCGGUGAAAUGCGUAGAGAUUAGGAGGAACACCGGUGGCGAAAGCGGCUUUUUGGCCUGCAACUGACACUGAGGCGCGAAAGCGUGGGGAGCAAACAGG